This 373-nucleotide ribosomal RNA is filed under the name uncultured organism. Its description in RNAcentral is "partial 16S ribosomal RNA". It matches the Rfam family "Bacterial small subunit ribosomal RNA", at positions 527 to 896 of the family's 1533-position model. The record is from RNAcentral.
GUAGGUGGCAAGCGUUGUCCGGAAUUAUUGGGCGUAAAGCGCACGCAGGCGGUUCUUUAAGUCUGAUGUGAAAGCCCACGGCUCAACCGUGGAGGGUCAUUGGAAACUGGAGAACUUGAGUACAGAAGAGGAAAGCGGAAUUCCACGUGUAGCGGUGAAAUGCGUAGAGAUGUGGAGGAACACCAGUGGCGAAGGCGGCUUUCUGGUCUGUAACUGACGCUGAGGCGCGAAAGCGUGGGGAGCAAACAGGGAUUAGAUACCCUGGUAGUCCACGCCGUAAACGAUGAGUGCUAAGUGUUAGGGGGUUUCCGCCCCCUUAGUGCUGCAGCUAACGCAUUAAGCACUCCGCCUGGGGAGUACGGCCGCAAGGCUG